This 497-nucleotide ribosomal RNA is filed under the name uncultured bacterium. RNAcentral's name for it is "partial 16S ribosomal RNA". It matches the Rfam family "Bacterial small subunit ribosomal RNA", at positions 28 to 507 of the family's 1533-position model. The record is from RNAcentral.
GACGAACGCUGGCGGCGUGCCUAAUACAUGCAAGUUGAGCGCUGAAGGUUGGUACUUGUCCCAACUGGAUGAGCAGCGAACGGGUGAGUAACGCGUGGGGAAUCUGCCUUUGAGCGGGGGACAACAUUUGGAAACGAAUGCUAAUACCGCAUAAAAACUUUAAACACAAGUUUUAAGUUUGAAAGAUGCAAUUGCAUCACUCAAAGAUGAUCCCGCGUUGUAUUAGCUAGUUGGUGAGGUAAAGGCUCACCAAGGCGAUGAUACAUAGCCGACCUGAGAGGGUGAUCGGCCACAUUGGGACUGAGACACGGCCCAAACGCCUACGGGAGGCAGCAGGAGGGAAUCUUCGGCAAUGGACGAAAGUCUGACCGAGCAACGCCGCGUGAGUGAAGAAGGGUGUCGGAUCGUAAAACUCUGUUGGUAGAGAAGAACGUUGGUGAGAGUGGAAAGCUCAUCAAGUGACGGUAACUACCCAGAAAGGGACGGCUAACUACGUG